AAUAAAGUGGACCUUUAGUUUUACAAGAGA
RNAcentral lists this non-coding RNA (30 nucleotides) under Cricetulus griseus (Chinese hamster). The record is from RNAcentral. Lineage: Eukaryota; Metazoa; Chordata; Mammalia; Rodentia; Cricetidae.